This 542-nucleotide ribosomal RNA is filed under the name Salmonella enterica. Its description in RNAcentral is "partial 23S ribosomal RNA". RNAcentral also lists the same sequence under 1 other name. The record is from RNAcentral. Lineage: Bacteria; Pseudomonadati; Pseudomonadota; Gammaproteobacteria; Enterobacterales; Enterobacteriaceae.
GGUUAAGCGACUAAGCGUACACGGUGGAUGCCCUGGCAGUCAGAGGCGAUGAAGGGCGUGCUAAUCUGCGAUAAGCGCCGGUAAGGUGAUAUGAACCGUUAUAACCGGCGAUACCCGAAUGGGGAAACCCAGUGUGAYUCGUCACACUAUCAUUAACUGAAUCCAUAGGUUAAUGAGGCGAACCGGGGGAACUGAAACAUCUAAGUACCCCGAGGAAAAGAAAUCAACCGAGAUUCCCCCAGUAGCGGCGAGCGAACGGGGAGGAGCCCAGAGCCUGAAUCAGCAUGUGUGUUAGUGGAAGCGUCUGGAAAGGCGCGCGAUACAGGGUGACAGCCCCGUACACAAAAGCGCAUGUGCUGUGAGCUCGAUGAGUAGGGCGGGACACGUGGUAUCCUGUCUGAAUAUGGGGGGACCAUCCUCCAAGGCUAAAUACUCCUGACUGACCGAUAGUGAACCAGUACCGUGAGGGAAAGGCGAAAAGAACCCCGGCGAGGGGAGUGAAAAAGAACCUGAAACCGUGUACGUACAAGCAGUGGGAGCAC